This 395-nucleotide ribosomal RNA is filed under the name uncultured bacterium. Its description in RNAcentral is "bacterial SSU rRNA". It matches the Rfam family "Bacterial small subunit ribosomal RNA", at positions 957 to 1353 of the family's 1533-position model. The record is from RNAcentral.
UAACGGGAAGAACCUUACCAGGUCUUGACAUACUAUGCAAAUCUAAGAGAUUAGACGUUCCCUUCGGGGACAUGGAUACAGGUGGUGCAUGGUUGUCGUCAGCUCGUGUCGUGAGAUGUUGGGUUAAGUCCCGCAACGAGCGCAACCCUUAUUAUCAGUUGCCAGCAUUAAGUUGGGCACUCUGGUGAGACUGCCGGUGACAAACCGGAGGAAGGUGGGGAUGACGUCAAAUCAUCAUGCCCCUUAUGACCUGGGCUACACACGUGCUACAAUGGAUGGUACAACGAGUUGCGAACUCGCGAGAGUAAGCUAAUCUCUUAAAGCCAUUCUCAGUUCGGAUUGUAGGCUGCAACUCGCCUACAUGAAGUCGGAAUCGCUAGUAAUCGCGGAUCAGC